AGACAACACUCUAGGUCAGUCGAGCAAGACAGAAAGACAAUUAUGGGUUAAUCCCAAGUAUUUACUGGGGAGAGACUGGAAAGACAGUCAGCUCAGUCACGUCAUCUACAGUGUGCUCCUCUCUUUAAUGUGGUGAGGUCCAAUCUCGCACCUCCGUGAUUGCCAGAAUUUACACUACCGUUUCUCUGAUCUCUACCGGAGAUGUUCAACUCAAAACCAACCAAACAUGAUUUUUCCAAUGUAAACCCUACCGCUAACAGUAACCCAUAAUGUCAUAACAUAUCCAUGUCAAUAACUCAAACUUUUCCUUUGUGAUUCACAGCAAACAGGAUGGAAGGAUACCUCGUAUCUCUGACACACUAGAGCCCUUGCUGUCACACUCCCAUCCUGCAUAUCGCGCUCGCUCGUUAUCAAAGUGCUCCACUGGCCUGUGGUUCUUAUCUGUCUUCCUCCAUGGCUCAUCUGAAAGGUAGCAAGGUAAAGGUGCAACAUGUCUUUAGUUAGUUUUAAAGGCUGACUACACUUCCUGAUUUGGCCUUUUUUAGAUUUGGUUAAUUAAGAAAUGCUGGCGGCCAUGACUGAAUUCAAAUGUUUGUUUCGUGGUGUGGUUUGAUGUGUGUGUUCGCUGUUGGGAAGAGUUAGCCAAAUAAUUUAGCCAAUUAGCUUGAGCCAGCUGAUGUGCAACCUGAAUUUGACUCAGGCUUAGGAUAGCCUAUCUCCGGGGCUAGAUAGACACCGUCAAUACAUUUACACAAUGUAAAUUAUAAAAUUUUC
RNAcentral lists this long non-coding RNA (774 nucleotides) under Oncorhynchus mykiss (rainbow trout). Its description in RNAcentral is "lncRNA (ENSOMYG00000073839.1)". Lineage: Eukaryota; Metazoa; Chordata; Actinopteri; Salmoniformes; Salmonidae. The record is from RNAcentral.